This 381-nucleotide ribosomal RNA is filed under the name uncultured eukaryote. RNAcentral describes it as "partial 18S ribosomal RNA". It matches the Rfam family "Eukaryotic small subunit ribosomal RNA", at positions 592 to 976 of the family's 1831-position model. The record is from RNAcentral.
UAAUAGCGUAUAUUAAAGUUGUUGCGGUAAAAAAGCUCGUAGUUGGAUUUCUACCGAAGAUAGCCGGUCGGGUCUUCGACCUUGUAUCUGGUUUUGUCUUUGGUAUCCUCAUAGGGAACGUUUCUGCGCUUUAUUGCGUGGUGCGGUAUCUAUGACUUUUACUUUGAGGAAAUUAGAGUGUUCACGGCAGGCAAACGCCUUGAAUAUAUUAGCAUGGAAUAAUAACAUAGGAUCUUCGUCCUAUUUUGUUGGUUUCUAGGGCUAAGAUAAUGAUUAAUAGGGAUAAUUGGGGGCAUCUGUAUCAACGCGUCAGAGGUGGAAUUCUUGGAUUGCGUUGCGACAAACUACUGCGAAAGCAUUUGCCAAGGAUGUUUUCAUUGA